RNAcentral lists this ribosomal RNA (762 nucleotides) under Acarospora saxicola. RNAcentral's name for it is "partial large subunit ribosomal RNA". It matches the Rfam family "Eukaryotic large subunit ribosomal RNA", at positions 328 to 1414 of the family's 3401-position model. Lineage: Eukaryota; Fungi; Ascomycota; Lecanoromycetes; Acarosporales; Acarosporaceae. The record is from RNAcentral.
CAGAGACCUAAUAGCGCACAAGUAGAGUGAUCGAAAGAUGAAAAGCACUUUGGAAAGAGAGUCAAACAGUAAGUGAAAUAGUGAAAGGGAAGCGCUUGCAACCAGACUUGCCCACGGGUGAUCAACCGGUAUUCUUAGCGUUGCACUGGCCCGUGAUCAGGCCAGCAUUGGUUCGGGCGGCUGGAUAAAGUCCAAAGGAAUGUAGGUCCUCUAGGGGAGUGAUAUAGCCAGAGGGACCAAGCAGACCGCCCGGACCGAAGACCGCGCUUCGGUUAGGAUGCUGGCGUAAUGGUGGUAAGCGACCCGUCUUGAAACACGGACCAAGGAGUCUAACAUCUAUGCGAGUGUUUGGGUGUCAAACCCAUGAUCGUAAUGAAAGUGAACGGAGGUGGGAACCCUUCAGGGCGCACCAUCGACCGAUCGUGAGGUCUUCGGAUGGAUUUGAGUAAGAGCAUAGCUGUUGGGACCCGAAAGAUGGUGAACUAUGCCUGAAUAGGGUGAAGCCAGAGGAAACUCUGGUGGAGGCUUGCAGCGGUUCUGACGUGCAAAUCGAUCGUCAAAUUUGGGUAUAGGGGCGAAAGACUAAUCGAACCAUUUGCUACUAGAUGGCAUACGGGCCUGGGUGCCCCGGUAGUCCCCGCAGGACGGGGGUGCCAUUGUCGGUCUGUCCGAGAACGCAUUAGGCCUACCCACACGAGCCUCGAGCUCAUCCCCAGUCUAAUCGCGGAGGCCGUGACCGUGGAGCACGGUUUGGAUAUAGGG